RNAcentral lists this ribosomal RNA (252 nucleotides) under uncultured bacterium. RNAcentral's name for it is "partial 16S ribosomal RNA". It matches the Rfam family "Bacterial small subunit ribosomal RNA", at positions 524 to 776 of the family's 1533-position model. The record is from RNAcentral.
UACGUAGGGGGCGAGCGUUGUCCGGAAUUACUGGCGUAAAGCGUGCGCAGGCGGUUAUGCAAGACAGAGGUGAAAUCCCCGGGCUCAACCUGGGAACUGCCUUUGUGACUGCAUAGCUAGAGUACGGUAGAGGGGGAUGGAAUUCCGCGUGUAGCAGUGAAAUGCGUAGAUAUGCGGAGGAACACCGAUGGCGAAGGCAGUCCCCUGGGCCUGUACUGACGCUCAUGCACGAAAGCGUGGGGAGCAAACAGG